UCNCAAUGGCCACCUCUGCAAUCGCUGCUUA
RNAcentral lists this non-coding RNA (31 nucleotides) under Mus musculus (house mouse). The record is from RNAcentral. Lineage: Eukaryota; Metazoa; Chordata; Mammalia; Rodentia; Muridae.